CCUACGGGUGGCAGCAGUGAGGAAUCUUGGUCAAUGGACGCAAGUCUGAACCAGCCAUGCCGCGUGCAGGAUGACGGCUCUAUGAGUUGUAAACUGCUUUUGUACGGGGGUAAACGCCGAUACGUGUAUCGGGUUGAAAGUAUCGUACGAAUAAGGAUCGACUAACUCCGUGCCAGCAGCCGCGGUAAUACGGAGGAUCCGAGCGUUAUCCGGAUUGAUUGGGUUUAAAGGGUGCGUAGGCGGUUUGAUAAGUUAGAGGUGAAAUGUCGGGGCUCAACCCCGAACCUGCAUGUGAUACUGUUGGACUAGAGUAUAGUAGAGGUAAGCGGAAUGUCAGGUGUAGCGGUGAAAUGCUUAGAGAUC
This 363-nucleotide ribosomal RNA is filed under the name uncultured bacterium. Its description in RNAcentral is "partial 16S ribosomal RNA". It matches the Rfam family "Bacterial small subunit ribosomal RNA", at positions 338 to 698 of the family's 1533-position model. The record is from RNAcentral.